GUGGGGAAUCUUGCGCAAUGGGCGAAAGCCUGACGCAGCCAUGCCGCGUGGAUGAUGAAGGUCUUCGGAUUGUAAAGCUCUGUUAAUCGGGACGAAAGAGCCUAGUGUGAAUAAUGCUAGGAAGUGACGGUACCGGAAUAGAAAGCCACGGCUAACUACGUGCCAGCAGCCGCGGUAAUACGGAGGAUCCAAGCGUUAUCCGGAAUCAUUGGGUUUAAAGGGUCCGUAGGCGGUUUAAUAAGUCAGUGGUGAAAGCCCAUCGCUCAACGAUGGAACGGCCAUUGAUACUGUUAGACUUGAAUUACAAGGAAGUAACUAGAAUAUGUAGUGUAGCGGUGAAAUGCUUAGAUAUUACAUGGAAUACCAAUUGCGAAGGCAGGUUACUACUUGUGGAUUGACGCUGAUGGACGAAAGCGUGGGGAGCGAACAGGAUUAGAUACCCCAGUAGUCC
This 451-nucleotide ribosomal RNA is filed under the name uncultured bacterium. RNAcentral's name for it is "partial 16S ribosomal RNA". It matches the Rfam family "Bacterial small subunit ribosomal RNA", at positions 354 to 796 of the family's 1533-position model. The record is from RNAcentral.